AUUGAACGCUGGCGGCAUGCCUAACACAUGCAAGUCGAGCGGCAGCGCAAGAAGUUUACUUCUUGGCGGCGAGCGGCGGACGGCUGAGUAACACGUGGGCAACCUGCCCUGUAGAUUGGGAUAACUCCGGGAAACCGGGGCUAAUACCGAAUAAUCCUUCGGACCUCAUGGUCCGAUGUUGAAAGACGGUUUCGGCUGUCACUACAGGAUGGGCCCGCGGCGCAUUAGCUAGUUGGUGAGGUAACGGCUCACCAAGGCCACGAUGCGUAGCCGAACUGAGAGGGUGAUCGGCCACACUGGGACUGAGACACGGCCCAGACUCCUACGGGAGGCAGCAGUAGGGAAUCUUCCACAAUGGACGAAAGUCUGAUGGAGCAACGCCGCGUGAGUGAAGAAGGUUCUCGGAUCGUAAAACUCUGUUGUGAGGGAAGAACAAGUACCGGAGUAACUGCCGGUGCCUUGACGGUACCUCAUUAGAAAGCCACGGCUAACUACGUGCCAGCCGCCGCCGUAA
This 514-nucleotide ribosomal RNA is filed under the name uncultured bacterium. RNAcentral's name for it is "partial 16S ribosomal RNA". It matches the Rfam family "Bacterial small subunit ribosomal RNA", at positions 30 to 523 of the family's 1533-position model. The record is from RNAcentral.